Molecule: ribosomal RNA, 448 nt
Filed under: uncultured bacterium
Lineage: Bacteria
Description: bacterial SSU rRNA
Rfam family: Bacterial small subunit ribosomal RNA
Source: RNAcentral
CCCAGACUCCUACGGGAGGCAGCAGUGGGGGAUAUUGCACAAUGGGGGAAACCCUGAUGCAGCGACGCCGCGUGAGUGAAGAAGUAUUUCGGUAUGUAAAGCUCUAUCAGCAGGGAAGAAAAAAGACGGUACCUGACUAAGAAGCCCCGGCUAACUACGUGCCAGCAGCCGCGGUAAUACGUAGGGGGCAAGCGUUAUCCGGAUUUACUGGGUGUAAAGGGAGCGUAGACGGCAAUACAAGUCGGAAGUGAAAUACCCGGGCUUAACCUGGGAACUGCUUUGGAAACUGUAUGGCUGGAGUGCUGGAGAGGUAAGCGGAAUUCCUAGUGUAGCGGUGAAAUGCGUAGAUAUUAGGAGGAACACCAGUGGCGAAGGCGGCUUACUGGACAGUAACUGACGUUGAGGCUCGAAAGCGUGGGGAGCAAACAGGAUUAGAUACCCCAGUACG